CCUACGGGUGGCAGCAGUGGGGAAUAUUGCACAAUGGGCGCAAGCCUGAUGCAGCCAUGCCGCGUGUAUGAAGAAGGCCUUCGGGUUGUAAAGUACUUUCAGUGGGGAGGAAGGCGAUGAAGUUAAUAGCUUCGUCGAUUGACGUUACCCGCAGAAGAAGCACCGGCUAACUCCGUGCCAGCAGCCGCGGUAAUACGGAGGGUGCAAGCGUUAAUCGGAAUUACUGGGCGUAAAGCGCACGCAGGCGGUCUGUCAAGUCGGAUGUGAAAUCCCCGGGCUCAACCUGGGAACUGCAUUCGAAACUGGCAGGCUAGAGUCUUGUAGAGGGGGGUAGAAUUCCAGGUGUAGCGGUGAAAUGCGUAGAGAUCUGGAGGAAUACCGGUGGCGAAGGCGGCCCCCUGGACAAAGACUGACGCUCAGGUGCGAAAGCGUGGGGAGCAAACAGGAUUAGAUACCCGUGUAGUC
Molecule: ribosomal RNA, 465 nt
Filed under: uncultured Erwinia sp.
Lineage: Bacteria; Pseudomonadati; Pseudomonadota; Gammaproteobacteria; Enterobacterales; Erwiniaceae
Description: bacterial SSU rRNA
Rfam family: Bacterial small subunit ribosomal RNA
Source: RNAcentral